GAUGAACGCUGGCGGCGUGCCUAAUACAUGCAAGUCGAGCGAACAGACGAGGAGCUUGCUCCUCUGACGUUAGCGGCGGACGGGUGAGUAACACGUGGAUAACCUACCUAUAAGACUGGGAUAACUUCGGGAAACCGGAUCUAAUACCGGAUAAUAUAUUGAACCGCAUGGUUCAAUAGUGAAAGACGGUUUUGCUGUCACUUAUAGAUGGAUCCUCGCCGCAUUAGCUAGUUGGUAAGGUAACGGCUUACCAAGGCGACGAUGCGUAGCCGACCUGAGAGGGUGAUCGGCCACACUGGAACUGAGACACGGUCCAGACUCCUACGGGAGGCAGCAGUAGGGAAUCUUCCGCAAUGGGCGAAAGCCUGACGGAGCAACGCCGCGUGAGUGAUGAAGGUCUUCGGAUCGUAAAACUCUGUUAUUAGGGAAGAACAAAUGUGUAAGUAACUAUGCACGUCUUGACGGUACCUAAUCAGAAAGCCACGGCUAACUACGUG
This 497-nucleotide ribosomal RNA is filed under the name uncultured bacterium. RNAcentral describes it as "partial 16S ribosomal RNA". It matches the Rfam family "Bacterial small subunit ribosomal RNA", at positions 28 to 507 of the family's 1533-position model. The record is from RNAcentral.